RNAcentral lists this ribosomal RNA (1648 nucleotides) under Dothideomycetes sp. genotype 331. RNAcentral's name for it is "eukaryotic LSU rRNA". The stretch from base 1042 to 1648 matches the Rfam family "Eukaryotic large subunit ribosomal RNA", at positions 1 to 494 of the family's 3401-position model. The record is from RNAcentral. Lineage: Eukaryota; Fungi; Ascomycota; Dothideomycetes.
GACCCUUCCAAGGGCGCACUUGCGGAAGCCUUUGCAGCCACGCCCGCCGUGGUGGGCCCAGACGACUGUAAACAAGCUGGGCCCCAAAUGCAAGUCCGCUGCAUCUUCUGCAGCGGGCGACACUUUCGAAUUGACGGGGACGCCCUAAAGCCAAGUUGCACCAACCCGGCGUGGAAACACGCUCCGGGGGCCCGUGGUAAUGCGCGGGGUACGGUAACAGACAACUUGGAUGCCACAAUGGGCCAUCCGCAGCGAAGCUCCUUCCCCGCCCGGCGCGGGAUGGAGAACGUCCACAGACUAAGUGGAAGUGGGUGGGAGCCGCCAGCGCUCCUGCUUAAGAUAUAGUCGGGCCCUCUGGGAAAGCCAGAGGGAAAGCGCGAGAAAAGCAGCAGCUUUGUUGACAAAACCGUUCCGUAGGUGAACCUGCGGAAGGAUCAUUACCGUGUCGUGGGAGGCACUCUGGCAGACCGCGCGCGCGCCUGGCCCCAAGCACAACGCUUCGUUGGGCUUGGAAGCCCCCCUCCCCUCGGGCGCGCGCAGCUGGGCCAUUGGCGCCUCCUGCAACCAAAACCCCCCAUCCCUGCUUAACACGCACCGUUUGUUUCCUCGGCGGGCCCGCCCGCCGCAGGACCCCCCUUAAACGCUUUUGCAAACCACGCAGUCGUUCGUCUGAGCGGAGUUUUUCCAAAACGCACGCAAUCAAAUUAAAACUUUCAACAACGGAUCUCUUGGUUCUGGCAUCGAUGAAGAACGCAGCGAAAUGCGAUAAGUAGUGUGAAUUGCAGAAUUCAGUGAAUCAUCGAAUCUUUGAACGCACAUUGCGCCCUUUGGCAUUCCGAAGGGCAUGCCUGUUCGAGCGUCAUUGCAACCCCUCCGGCCGCCUCGAUUCGUCGACGCACGCUGGGUGUUGGGCGUCUUGUGGCUGCGGCCACUCGCCUGAAAAGCAUCGGCGCCGGCGCGUCGGCCCUGCGCGUAGCACAUUGUUCGCGCCUGGGACCCCGUCGCGGCGGCUGCCCCCAAAGCACCUAUUUUUCAAUGACUUGACCUCGGAUCAGGUAGGGAUACCCGCUGAACUUAAGCAUAUCAAUAAGCGGAGGAAAAGAAACCAACAGGGAUUGCCCCAGUAACGGCGAGUGAAGCGGCAACAGCUCAAAUUUGAAAGCUGGCUCUCCCCCGCGGGGGCCCGCGUUGUAAUUUGCAGAGAGCACUUCGGCGGCGGCGCUGGCCUAAGUUCCUUGGAACAGGGCGUCAGAGAGGGUGAGAACCCCGUUCGCGGCCGGGCGGCCGCCGCCAUGUGAAGGCUCUUCGACGAGUCGAGUUGUUUGGGAAUGCAGCUCUAAAUGGGAGGUAUAUUUCUUCUAAAGCUAAAUACCGGCCAGAGACCGAUAGCGCACAAGUAGAGUGAUCGAAAGAUGAAAAGCACUUUGGAAAGAGAGUCAAACAGCACGUGAAAUUGUUGAAAGGGAAGCGCUUGCAACCAGACGUGCCCGCGGGCGCUCAGCCGGGCCUUGUGCCCGGCGCGCUCGCUCGCGGAGCAGGCCAGCAUCGGUUGGGGCGGCUGGACAAAGGCGCCGGGAACGUGGCCCUCCUCCGGGAGGGUGUUAUAGCCCGGCGUGCCAUGCAGCCAGCCCCGACCGAGGUCCGCGCU